Orbicella faveolata is the source of this 348-nucleotide long non-coding RNA. The record is from RefSeq and is a predicted model, not a curated record. NCBI's taxonomy places the organism in Eukaryota, Metazoa, Cnidaria, Anthozoa, Scleractinia, Merulinidae.
UUGAAGGAAGACUGGACCGGGGUGCCAACUUGUUCUCCUCGUACAAAGCAAUAUGCCGGAUUGAUUGUACACCCGAGGACAAGCUGGAGCGCAUUUCAACGCUUAAAAACGAGCUUGAGCAAGGCGAAGUAACCCAGGUGAUUACGCUGACUGAAGGCACCACUUCUAUUCAGACCAGCCAGACGGGAGGAACUUCUAGUACUACAAUUUCCGCCAAGGUUGGUUUAAAUCUGAAAGAGAAAUUCUCAGCUGAACUUGGUGUCUCCCAUACGACCUCUUUUAAUUGGGCUCAGAGUUCCAGCAGCUCUUUUUCUCGACAAAUCUCACACGAAGCUCGAAUACCGGUGC